RNAcentral lists this long non-coding RNA (10271 nucleotides) under Triticum aestivum (bread wheat). RNAcentral's name for it is "long non-coding RNA (TAES_LNC022625)". The record is from RNAcentral. Lineage: Eukaryota; Viridiplantae; Streptophyta; Magnoliopsida; Poales; Poaceae.
UUUUUUUUUCUGGAUAGCAGAUUCGUGCCCGCCGUCCCCGCCUCCUCGAGUGUUGUUUAGAUGAAUCCUUUGGUAUAAUUGCGUGGAAGUGAGUCUAUAAUGAACCUACAAAAAUUCGUCGUGUUCCGAUGGAGGAAUCUCCGGUGAUCUACGAUAUACCGGAGCCCUGUCAAAUCUGGAAGUGAAUCUGGAGGAGUUUAGGGCCAUGAGUCCGCAAUCAGCUCGGGCAUCAUUUGGAAGAUCCAACCGUCCAUCUGCUGCGGAAUUCCUAUAUCAACCACCUCUCAAAAUUUCAAAUCAAUCUGACCGUUCAAACUCUAUGAACGGCCUAAGGACUGCGUCAAUUUUUGGAUCUGUUUUCUACGUGAAAACGAAUCCGACCCGAGUUCAUCUUUCUCGAUGAACAUGAAAUUAGACAUCCUUUCUAAAGGAAGUUUUUUUCUUGGGUAUUGUGUGUUUUUCUUAAACAUGUGCCUACAAAAUUUGUGCCUUUUACGAGGCAAUCUCCACCGUCAUGCCGGCAUUAAACCGGCCCGACCUCGUUGCUCCACGGAUGCCGAACUAGGCUAGACGGGUCGUCCCUCCGUCAAGCUGUCGUCAACCACAUCAGAUCAUCACCUCGGCGAGUCGACCAAGAGUUCGGCAUCGCAAAGGCCAAAUAAUUGUCAAGACAACAUCGUCGCCCGACGGGUUGCACGGAUCAUGAGCGGGAGGAUUGACCCGCGGUCAAUUCAUCAAGCCAGCAUUGACCAGUUCCGACCUAUGUCGGCAUCGCCACGCCGUUGCUUCUUCAAGACGAUACCCACCACGCUGACCUGCUUCGACACCUCGGCUGGCAUGGGGGCUGCAACGUCACCUUACCGACCUGCUCCAUCACCUUGGCUAGACUGGGGGCUUCGCCAUCGCUUCAUCGACAUACGCCGAGGACUUUGGCGUCGCUAGCCAACCAACUUCGUCACGUCAGCUGGACCGGGGGUUUUGCCUCACCAUAUCAAUUGUGCGGCGUCGCCACUUCGUCAAGCCGAGCUCUUUGCCCGAGCACCUCGGGACCGGCUUGAGGGCUGGGACCUCGAUCUGCCACAAGCUCGGCCCACAUCAGCAACGCCAAGCACAUUAAUCAGCUAAAUCACUUCCAUGCUCAACUUUUUUUGUUCAGUUCAUCCAAGCAUUAUAUUUGUGUUAAACAAAAAGUUGUCAAAAACUUUGUUUGUUAAAAACACUUCUUUUUCCCGUGUUAACUGUGGCCUCUUAAAUUUUUAUGAGCCAUUUUUAUAAUAAAUGUGCUUUCUUCUAAGUCAUUGGAAAGUCUUUUUCUACUACUCAUUUUUCCGACACGGGUGUGUGGGCAAUAGCCGGAUAGCCUAGUUUCUCUCUAAAGCCGCUCGAGUUUAGUUUGCUAAACUAGCCCGAGAAGCAUUCUGCCUUCGGGAUAGGAGGUUGAAGCCGAAGGCUGACCCGCUUGAAGUUUCGAGAUCGAAUGUAUCAUGUUAAAGCACGACGGAAGCACAAACUAAUCUUAAGACCCAUUUUCGGAUUGGCACCAAAAAUUUGUUUAGUUCGGACGUGAAGUUUUUACUAAAGUUUUUUGGUUUAGCGAGAUUAUGUCACCUUUAACCUAUUUUAUGUUUCCCUUUCAGGAGGCGAGAAAUCCUCUUGAUCAACGUGUUUUGCGUGAUAUUUUUGCUCGCGAAAUAUUUUCUGACCCGGAGUUCGGCAUCCUUCCCGCCGAGCUGCACCUCGGCGUUGUCAAAACAUACACCACAGUUGAACUAGUUCCCGAGGAGAUACGAUCCUAGGGUCAUCCAUGUUGCCCAACCCAAGUCUCCGGGGUUAUUGCAUUGGCGAUUCAAUGCAGAAAAUUUAAGUGCAAAAUAGUUUUCUAGAAGAUUACAAUUCUCAGGUUGGUCGGUUGCACCCAACCUGAGCCUCCAGGACUAUGCACACCGUGUUUCCGAGGAAAAAGUGCUGGAAUUUUGUCUAUUUUGGGCCUAGCCCAAUAGCAGUUUCGGAAAUUCCUAAUAAAUCCUAGAGGCCCACGCAGCCCAUUCGUGCAAGGCAAGAGGUGGAACUAAAGUUUAGUCCCACAUUGCUAGUUUAGAGGGAGUUGGACCUCUUUAUAAGGGAGGCUCCUUCCCCACUUGUAUGAGCAUGAGAACAAGAGGGACAUCCACGCGCGCUCCUCCUCUGCCGCCCGCCUCGCCACGCCACGCCUCGUCACGACGCGCCACGGGUUGCGGGUUGCGGGAAUGAGCCGAGCCGAUGUAAAUUUUUGCCAUGCACUACGGGUAUACGAAAGGGCACGCGAAAGCUGAAACGCUUUGCUGUAGUGGAGAUUGAAUACGAACGGUGCACCUCUUCGCAUGCUGCCUGUUCGUUUCGUCUCCCUCGUUCUCUUCAGCUCCCAGCGCAGCCUCUCACCUCCUUCUCUUGCGCCUAUAAAAGGGAGGUCGCUCCUCCCAGAGAGACGCACCAGAAUCUCUUCCUCCUCUCGCCACAAGUUCCUGAGCACUGCGCCGCUGCUACGUUCUUCCCCAUCCCGGCUUGCGGCGUGCACCGCAGGUCGGAACAGUAGGCCUCCGAAACCGCACCUUUUGAGUCAUGUACAGAGAAGGGUGAUAAGGUUUUUGGGGAGCGCUCUGCGCGACUACUGACUUCUUCGUCACGGACGCCCCGGACUCCGACGACUACUUCCCCGACGACGACUACUUCCCCGAUGUCGACUACCUCCUCGACGACAUGGAGGACACCGACCCCAAGUCCAGUGCCUCUGCCCCGGCUGCUGUCCAGUACGUGUUCUUAUCUUUCAUGUUAGAAGUCCUGCAAUAGUUCCUUCUUCUAAUGUUUGAAGUAGACAUGUUAUGCUCUACUUCAUAUAUGCAUCUUCAUCUACUAUCUGCUCUAGAGUUGAUUGGUUCUAGCUCAUAUAUGCAAAUAUUAUUUACUUUCUCUUUUUAAAAUCACAUGGCUUGUUUUAUCACUGCUAUACUAGUCAUGCUUUAUCUAGUAUUUCUGUUAAUAAAAUCAUUCGGUAAAUUGCUCAUAUUUCCAACAAUCCAAAAACCUUAUUAUAGGCAAUUUUUGACCUCCUAUGUUUGAGGGUAUCCACUAUAAGAGGUGGCGCGUGAGAGCAGUCUUAUGGUUUCAAACCACGAGUUGCUAUGACGCCACUCUUGGCAAACCCGAAGGAGAGCAAGAUGCCCAAUAGGCACAAGCUUUUCAGAAAAUGGAUACCUUGUUUAAGGCUGCUCUCUUGAGUGUUCUUGGUGAGAACAUUGUUGAUGCUUAUGCGUCAAUUGACAAUGGAAAAGACAUGUGGGACGCACUCGAGGCCAAGUUUGGGGUCUCGGAUGCCGGCACUGAGCUGUACAUCAUGGAGCAAUUCUAUGAUUACAGGAUGACUGAAGAGCGCUCCGUGGUUGAGCAGGCUCAUGAGAUACAGUCAUUUGCUAGAGAACUUGAGCACUUCAAUUGUAUCUUACCGGACAAGUUUGUUGCCGGGGGUAUCAUCACUAAGCUUCCUCCUUCGUGUAGGAACUUUGCUACCUUACUGAAGCAUAAGAGACAUGAGUUUUCCGUCCCGGAUCUCACUGGUACUCUUGAUGUGGAAGAAAAGGCGAGAGCAAAGGACACACGUGCUAGAGGUAUUGAGGGAUGAUCUAGAGCCAAUCUGGUACAGAAGAAAAACUUCCAGUCCCACAAGUUCAAGAACAAGGGCAAGUUUGAUGGUAAAGAAAAGUUCGAUGGGAAGAACAAGGCUGUGCAGCACACAAACUUCAAGAAGAAGAAUGACAAGAAGAAAGGUGCUUGUCAUGUGUGUGGAGAUCCUGAUCAUUGGGCUCCUAGUUGUCCUAAUCGCUAUGACAAGCGUCAUCUUGGGAAAGGCGGCAAGACCGCUAAUGUUGUCAUCGGAGACAUUGACAUGAAGGACGCUGGGUAUGGUAUAUUUCCCACUAUUCUUUCAGUAUGUCAUUCUCCUAAUUGGUUGAUUGACACGGGUGCUAAUGUGCAUGUAUGCGGUGAUAUUUCCAUGUUUUCGUCUUAUCAGACCGCAGGGACUUCAACCGUGCUGAUGGGCAAUGGUUCAAGUGCUUCUGUUCAUGGUAUUGGCACGGUCGAUCUAAAGUUUACUUCGGGGAAGAUCGUGCGGCUGAAGAACGUGCAUUAUGUCCCCUCCGUCAAUAAAAAUCUUGUUAGCGGAUCUCUUCUGUGUACAGAUGGCUAUAAGCUUGUCUUUGAGUCGAAUAAAUUUGUAAUAUCCAAGUAUGGAACCUUUGUUGGUAAAGGCUAUGAGUCAGGAGGCCUAUUUCGUUUAUCCUUAUCAGAUGUUUGCAAUAAAGUUGUUAAUCAUAUUUGCAACAAUAGUGAAUCAAAUGUGUGGCAUUCACGUCUUUGUCAUGUUAACUUUGGUUGCAUGUCGCGACUAGCGAAGUUGAACUUAAUCCCUAGUUUCACCACUGUCAAGGGAUCUAAGUGUCAAGUGUGUGUGCAAGCUAAGCAACCUCGUAAGUCUCACGUGACUGCGGAGACGAGAAAUCUUGCACCACUAGAACUUAUACAUUCAGAUCCAUGUGAAAUGAAUGGUGUUUUGACAAAAGGUGGAAAGAAAUAUUUCAUGACGUUAAUUGAUGACUCCACUAGAUAUUGCCGUGUGUAUCUUCUGAAAUCUAAGGAUGAGGCUUUGAACUUCUUCAAGAUCUAUAAAGCUGAAGUGGAAAACCAACUUGAUCGAAAAAUCAAGAGGCUUAGGUCCGACCGUGGUGGAGAGUAUUUUUUCAAUGAAUUUGAUGCUUUUUGUGCGGAACAUGGUAUAAUCCAUGAGAGGACGCCUCCCUACUCACCUCAAUCAAAUGGGGUGGCCGAAAGAAAGAACCAUACUCUAACUGAUUUGGUUAACGCCAUGUUAGAUACAGCGGGUCUCUCCAAGGCAUGGUGGGGGGAGGCGAUAUUGACUGCAUGUCAUGUCCUAAACCGAGUUCCCACAAAGAACAAAGAGAUAACUCCAUUCGAGGAAUAGGAGAAGAAAAGGUUAAAUCUCUCUUAUCUACGAACCUGGGGUUGUUUGACGAAAGUCAAUGUGCCAAUUCCAAAGAAGCGGAAGCUGGGACCAAAAACUAUGGAUUGUGUUUUCCUGGGAUAUGCUUUUCAUAGCAUUGGCUAUAGAUUCUUGGUUGUAAAAUCUGAGGUACCUGACAUGCAUGUCGGUACGAUCAUGGAGUCGAAUGAUGCGACUUUCUUUGAAGAUAUCUUUCCCAUGAAGGAUAUGGCUACCUCAUCUAAUCAGGAGAUGCCUAGUUCAUCGAAUCAGGAACCAGUUACAAUUACCGAACCUGCCAUUUCGAUGGAACACUUUGAAAGUCCUGUGGAGGGAAACAAUGAAGUUCCUACUAGGAGCAAGAGACAGAGGACUGUAAAGUCCUUUGGUGAUGAUUUUCUUGUGUAUCUCAUAGAUGACACUCCCAGUUCUAUUUCGGAGGCCUAUGCAUUGGAAGAUCUGACUACUGGAAGGAAGCGGUUCGUAGCGAGAUGGAUUCCAUCUUGGCGAAUGAAACUUGGAAGAUAACUUAUCGUCCUUAUGGGUGCAAACCUAUAGGAUGCAAAUGGGUAUUCAAGAAGAAGCUUAGGCCUGAUGGUACUAUUGAAAAGUACAAGGCUCGGCUCGUGGCAAAGGGUUAUACCCAAAAGGAAGGUGAAGACUUCUUUGAUACUUACUCACAUGUGGCUCGACUGACCACUAUUCGAGUUCUACUUUCACUAGCUGCCUCACAUGGUCUUUUCGUUCAUCAAAUGGAUGUUCAGACUGCUUUCCUAAAUGGAUAGUUGAAUGAGGAAAUUUAUAUGGAACAACCAGAUGGGUUUGUAAUAGAUGGUCAGGAAGGGAAAAUGUGCAAGUUGCUGAAGUCUUUGUAUGGACUCAAGCAAGCACCCAAACAGGGGCAUGAGAAGUUCGAAAGAACUUUAACAGCUACAGGCUUUGUUGUGAACGAAGCUGACAAAUGUGUGUAUUAUUGCCAUGGUGGGGGCGAGGGAGUUAUGCUUUGCCUGUAUGUUGAUGACAUACUGAUUUUCGGAACAAAUCUGAAUGUUAUUAAGGAGGUCAAGGAUUUCCUAUCUCGCUGUUUUGAGAUGAAGGAUUUAGGAGUGGCUGAUGUCAUUCUGAACAUUAAGUUGUUGAGAGAUGAUGAUGGUGGGAUUACAUUGCUUCAAUCUCACUAUGUGGAAAAGAUCUUGAGUCGCUUUGGCUAUAGUGACUGCAAGCCCUCUCCAACACCAUAUGAUGCUAGCGUGCUGCUUCGAAAGAAUCGAAGAAUUGCUAGAGAUCAAUUGAAGUAUUCUGAGAUUAUUGGCUCACUUAUGUACUUAGCCAGUGCUACAAGACCUGACAUCUCUUUUGUUGUUAGCAAACUGAGUCGGUUUGUUUCAAAACCAGGAGAUGUACAUUGGAAAGCUCUAGAGAGAGUUUUACGUUAUUUGAAAGGCACUGCGAAUUAUGAAAUUCACUACACUGGGCACCCAAAGGUGCUUGAAGGGUAUAGUGACUCAAACUGGAUCUCAGAUGCUGAUGAGAUAAAGGUCACGAGCGGAUAUGUAUUCACUCAUGGAGGUGGCGCUGUUUCUUGGAAGUCUUGCAAGCAGACCAUCUUAACGAGGUCAACAAUGGAAGCAGAACUCACAACACUAGAUACAACUAUGGUCGAAGCAGAUUGGCUUCGUCGGCUCUUGAAUGACUUGCCGGUUGUUGAGAAACCUGUACCGGGUAUCCUUAUGAACUGCGAUAAUCAAACUGUGAUCACGAAAGUGAACAGUUCAAAGGAUAACAUGAAGUCAUCAAGACACGUUCAGAGAAGGUUAAAGUCUGUCAGGAAAAUGAAAAACUCCGAAGUUAUUGCAUUGGAUUAUAUCCAAACGUCUAAAAAUCUGGCUGAUCCUUUUACUAAGGGUCUAUCACGUAAUGUGAUAGAUAAUGCAUCGAGGGAGAUGGGUAUGAGACCCACAAUAUGAGUUGUUCACAGUGGUAACCUAUUCUUUGUGAUUGGAGAUCCCAUGAAUUAGAUGUGGAAGACAAGCUGUUGGUCAACUGUGAGGAGAGUAUCCUUACUGUUAAAAUACCACUCCAUGAAGAUGCAAUACUCUCCUAAUCUGCAUGGCAGGUUGAUGUUUAUCUUAAGGUGUUCUAAGUGGCUCUUUGAAGCAGAGAUGUUGUCCUGCAGAACAUCUUUUGAAGAACGCACCUAUAUGAGUCUGAUUGUUAAACGUCACAAUCUAUGAGAAUAGGGUUCUCUCUAGUAAAAUCAUGAAAGGUCUCGGAGUAUGACGCAUAAGCUCCACCCGCGGGGAAGACCCACGGUAGCCACGUAUCGGUCAAGGCUUUAUGUGAAGCUAGAUUCACAGAAAACUUGCAGUUCAAGGCCCAUUCCACUGUGCAAGUUGCUUACUAGUGUAGCAUAGAGUUCUAGGUGAAAGUUCAACUUAUCAGUCUCCACUGCAGUACCGGUAUAUAAAACAGUGUUUUGGAACCAAAGGCAAAUUUUGUGUGCCUCUGGGAUCUGGUGGGGGAUUGCUGGAAUUUUGUCUAUUUUGGGCCUAGCCCAAUAGCAGUUUCAGAAAUUCCUAAUAAAUCCUAGAGACCCACGUAGCCCAUUCGUGCAAGGCAAGAGGUGGAACUAAAGUUUAGUCCCACAUUGCUAGUUUAGAGGGAGUUGGACCUCUUUAUAAGGGAGGCUCCUUCCCCACUUGUAUGAGCAUGAGAACAAGAGGGACAUCCACGCGCGCUCCUCCUCCGCCGUCCACCUCGCCGCGCCACGCCGCGCCGCGGGUUGCGGGAAUGAGCCGAGCCGAUGUAAAAUUUUGCCACGCACUACGGGUAUACGAAAGGGGACGCGAAAGCUGAAACGUUUUGAUGUAGUGGAUAUUGAAUACGAACGGCGCACCUCUUCGCCUGCUGCCUGUUCGUUUCGUCUCCCUCGUUCUCUUCAGCUCCCAGCGCAGCCUCUCGCCUCCUUCUCUUGCGCCUAUAAAAGGGAGGUCGCUCCUCCCAGAGAGACGCACCAGAAUCUCUUCCUCCUCUCGCCACAAGUUCCUGAGCACUGCGCCGCUGCUACGUUCUUCCCCAUCCCGGCUUGCGGCGUGCACCGCAGGUCAGAACAGUAGGCCUCCGAAACCGCACCUUUUGAGUCAUGUACAGAGAAGGGUGAUAAGGUUUUUGGGGAGCGCUCUGCGCGACUACUGACUUCUUCGUCACGGACGCCCCGGACUCCGACGACUACUUCCCCGACGACGACUACUUCCCCGACGUCGACUACCUCCUCGACGACAUGGAGGACACCGACCCCAAGUCCAGUGCCUCUGCCCCGGCUGUUGUCCAGUACGUGUUCUUAUCUUUCUUGUUAGAAGUCCUGCAAUAGUUUCUUCUUCCAAUGUUUGCAGUAGACAUGUUACGCUCUACUUCAUAUAUGCAUCUUCACCCACUGUCUGCGCUAGAGUUGAUCGGUUCUAGCUCAUAUAUGCAGAUAUUAUUUACUUUCUCUUUUUCAAAUCACAUGGCUUGUUUUAUCACUAUUAUACUAGUCAUGCUUUAUCUAGUAUUUCUGUUAAUAAAAUCAUUCGGUAAAUUGCUCAUAUUUCCAACAAAAAGCACCUUAAGGAUCUAAAUUGGAGUUUAUCAGCACGAGACCAGCUUUAUCUCCGAAAAAGAAAAUCUAGCUUUUGAAAGCUGUAAAUUGAAAGCUAACAUAAUGUCAGGUGUCGAAAGUAAAAUGGAAUAUAAAACAAGUAUAUACAGUAAAAUAAAUCACUGUUGGGGCGCCUGUGCCCUCGCCAAUGAGGCCAUGGCCACCCUCCAUUUCGUAUGAUAUCGGUCACCGAGAAAUGCACUGAUACAGGCUUUCACAUGGCUCUACUAUGCAACGUUUUACAGGGCAAUGUACGUGCAUGCAUAGAGCAUAUGCUCCACCGACGCCCCGUUUACGACGCCCCGUUUACGCACACACUGACUGAAGCUGUGAAGCAGUGGAACCCCGGAGCGACCAACCGGGAAACCUCCCCCGCGUGCCUAUCCUCUCCAUCACAUGCGGUCACAAGCAUCCAACACCCCAUCGUCUAUAUAAGCAGCGGUAUGGAGCACCAUUCUUCUCAGAACCACACUCAGCUAAGAGAGCCAGUAGCAGGGAGUGUAGUGAGAGUAGAGUGAGCGAGAAUGGGUGGCAAAGCCGCUCUCCUGGUGGCCCUCCUGGCCGUGAGCCUGGUCCUCGAGGCCCAGGCGGGCAGCGGCUACGGCGGCGGGCACGCCCCCACCCCGACGCCGGUCGCCCCACCCCCCAAGCACGAGAAGCCACCCAAGGGGCACAAGCCCCCUCACCACCACCACCACGCCAAACCACCGGCCGCCUCCCACGGGCCGCCGACGCACGCUCCGGCGCCACCCACCUACAGUCCCCCGACGCCUAAACCUACCCCUCCGGCCCCUAAACCCACACCACCCACCUACGCCCCGAUCCCGAAGCCGCCGAAGCCAUCUCCCUCGCCUCCGGCGUACCACCCUACGCCCAAGCCUGCACCUCCCACNNNNNNNNNNNNNNNNNNNNNNNNNNNNNNNNNNNNNNNNNNNNNNNNNNNNNNNNNNNNNNNNNNNNNNNNNNNNNNNNNNNNNNNNNNNNNNNNNNNNNNNNNNNNNNNNNNNNNNNNNNNNNNNNNNNNNNNNNNNNNNNNNNNNNNNNNNNNNNNNNNNNNNNNNNNNNNNNNNNNNNNNNNNNNNNNNNNNNNNAUACAAGCCCCCGACGCCUACUCCUCCGGCGUACAAGCCCCCCACCCCGAGCCCCCCGCCUCCGCCGUACCACCACUAAGAAGAUCCACCACUCUGUCAAGCUGGGAGCCCAGGUACGUGCAAACAACAUCAGUCUACAUUCUUGCAUGGACGCACCAUUUGUUCGAAUAGCACCAACUAACUCAGAGAACGUUUUUGUUUGCAGAAUGCGGUCGAGAAGAGUUGUGCGAGCAGGCCAAGAAGAGCCACGUACGGCGUCGUUGAUCCUCCUCCGGUGUGUGUUGCUGCCGAACUAGGGCCGAUCUCUCAGGAGAUGGAAUAAUGCAGAUGGCUCCCAUUAGUUUAUCUUACCAGCUUAUCAUUUGUGUUCGUCCAGUGUUAGCGUCUGUGUUGCUAGUGUGGCAAUGUGCCCGUGUCACUGUAAAACCAUUGAUCACCACGGAAAUGGAAGUAAAAGGUGUUGUUUCCUGUUGCAUGUAACGUGAUCGCGUCUCUGUUUUGCUGCUCUUCU